ACACAUGCAAGUCGAGGGGAAACGACAUCGAAAGCUUGCUUUUGAUGGGCGUCGACCGGCGCACGGGUGAGUAACGCGUAUCCAACCUGCCCACCACUUGGGGAUAACCUUGCGAAAGUAAGACUAAUACCCAAUGACGUCUCUAGAAGACAUCUGAAGGAGAUUAAAGAUUUAUCGGUGAUGGAUGGGGAUGCGUCUGAUUAGCUUGUUGGCGGGGUAACGGCCCACCAAGGCAACGAUCAGUAGGGGUUCUGAGAGGAAGGUCCCCCACAUUGGAACUGAGACACGGUCCAAACUCCUACGGGAGGCAGCAGUGAGGAAUAUUGGUCAAUGGACGAGAGUCUGAACCAGCCAAGUAGCGUGCAGGAUGACGGCCCUAUGGGUUGUAAACUGCUUUUAUAAGGGAAUAAAGUGAGUCUCGUGAGGCUUUUUGCAUGUACCUUAUGAAUAAGGACCGGCUAAUUCCGUGCCAGCAGCCGCGGUAAUACGGAAGGUCCGGGCGUUAUCCGGAUUUAUUGGGUUUAAAGGGAGCGUAGGCCGGAGAUUAAGCGUGUUGUGAAAUGUAGACGCUCAACGUCUGCACUGCAGCGCGAACUGGUUUCCUUGAGUACGCACAAAGUGGGCGGAAUUCGUGGUGUAGCGGUGAAAUGCUUAGAUAUCACGAAGAACUCCGAUUGCGAAGGCAGCUCACUGGAGCGCAACUGACGCUGAAGCUCGAAAGUGCGGGUAUCGAACAGGAUUAGAUACCCUGGUAGUCCGCACGGUAAACGAUGGAUGCCCGCUGUUGGUCUGAAUAGGUCAGCGGCCAAGCGAAAGCAUUAAGCAUCCCACCUGGGGAGUACGCCGGCAACGGUGAAACUCAAAGGAAUUGACGGGGG
This 878-nucleotide ribosomal RNA is filed under the name uncultured bacterium. RNAcentral describes it as "bacterial SSU rRNA". It matches the Rfam family "Bacterial small subunit ribosomal RNA", at positions 51 to 919 of the family's 1533-position model. The record is from RNAcentral.